AUUGAACGCUGGCGGCAUGCCUUACACAUGCAAGUCGAACGGCAGCACGGGUGCUUGCACCUGGUGGCGAGUGGCGAACGGGUGAGUAAUACAUCGGAACAUGUCCUGUAGUGGGGGAUAGCCCGGCGAAAGCCGGAUUAAUACCGCAUACGAUCUACGGAUGAAAGCGGGGGACCUUCGGGCCUCGCGCUAUAGGGUUGGCCGAUGGCUGAUUAGCUAGUUGGUGGGGUAAAGGCCUACCCAGGCGACGAUCAGUAGCUGGUCUGAGAGGACGACCAGCCACACUGGGACUGAGACACGGCCCAGACUCCUACGGGAGGCAGCAGUGGGGAAUGGUGGACAAUGGGCGAAAGCCUGAUCCAGCAAUGCCGCGUGUGUGAAGAAGGCCUUCGGGUUGUAAAGCACUUUUGUCCGGAAAGAAAUGCUUGGCCCUAAUACGGUCGGGGGAUGACGGUACCGGAAGAAUAAGCACCGGCUAACUACGUG
RNAcentral lists this ribosomal RNA (486 nucleotides) under uncultured bacterium. Its description in RNAcentral is "partial 16S ribosomal RNA". It matches the Rfam family "Bacterial small subunit ribosomal RNA", at positions 29 to 507 of the family's 1533-position model. The record is from RNAcentral.